ACGGAAGGCAGCAGUGGGGAAUAUUGCACAAUGGGGGAAACCCUGAUGCAGCAACGCCGCGUGAGUGAAGAAGUAUUUCGGUAUGUAAAGCUCUAUCAGCAGGGAAGAUAAUGACGGUACCUGACUAAGAAGCACCGGCUAAAUACGUGCCAGCAGCCGCGGUAGUACGUAUGGUGCAAGCGUUAUCCGGAUUUACUGGGUGUAAGGGGUGCGUAGGUGGCAUGGUAAGUCAGAUGUGAAAUACCGGGGCUCAACCCCGGGGCUGCAUUUGAAACUGCCAGGCUGGAGUACAGGAGAGGCAAGCGGAAUUCCUAGUGUAGCGGUGAAAUGCGUAGAUAUUAGGAGGAACACCAGUGGCGAAGGCGGCUUGCUGGACUGUUACUGACACUGAGGCACGAAAGCGUGGGGAGCAAACAGGAUUAGAUACCCUGGUA
This 434-nucleotide ribosomal RNA is filed under the name uncultured Lachnospiraceae bacterium. Its description in RNAcentral is "partial 16S ribosomal RNA". It matches the Rfam family "Bacterial small subunit ribosomal RNA", at positions 341 to 792 of the family's 1533-position model. The record is from RNAcentral. Lineage: Bacteria; Bacillati; Bacillota; Clostridia; Lachnospirales; Lachnospiraceae.